RNAcentral lists this ribosomal RNA (229 nucleotides) under uncultured bacterium. RNAcentral's name for it is "partial 16S ribosomal RNA". It matches the Rfam family "Bacterial small subunit ribosomal RNA", at positions 1272 to 1500 of the family's 1533-position model. The record is from RNAcentral.
ACUUCAAAAAUAGGUCUCAGUUCGGACUGUAGGCUGCAACUCGCCUACACGAAGUUGGAAUUGCUAGUAAUCGUGGAUCAGCAUGCCACGGUGAAUACGUUCCCGGGUCUUGUACACACCGCCCGUCACACCAUGGGAGCUGGUAACACCCGAAGUCAGUAGUCUAACCGCAAGGAGGACGCUGCCGAAGGUGGGAUUAGCGACUGGGGUGAAGUCGUAACAAGGUAUC